Helianthus annuus (common sunflower) is the source of this 651-nucleotide long non-coding RNA. RefSeq lists it as uncharacterized. The record is from RefSeq and is a predicted model, not a curated record. NCBI's taxonomy places the organism in Eukaryota, Viridiplantae, Streptophyta, Magnoliopsida, Asterales, Asteraceae. The transcript is spliced from 2 exons.
GAGUUGAAUGGUAAAGUUAGCAUAUAUUCUUCGUUGAUCCUGCUUCAUCAUAAUUGUGUGUAUUUUUUAUAAAUCAACAUUUUUGUCUUGGUGUUUUCUUCGUGAUGCUAAAAUAUCAUCAUUUGCGCAUUGCAUCCUUGCGUUUUCUUUCAUUUGGUUUCAAUGAUUGCAACCAUUUUGUAAACAAAAAAAAAUCGAUGCUCUUGGUUCAGAGAAAUAAUAAUUCAAUCUCAAAGACUAUUAUCAAGUUUUUGGCAUUCAUUUGUUAACAGCAAUCAUGGUGGACUUCCUUUUGGUCCUACUCAACUUCCUGUAUUAGGGUUGUGUGAACUCUGAAGGGACUAACAUUGCAUACGAGAUCGUAGUAGCAUUAUGGCUAGACAUAGACUUGCUGAAGUGAGGAUUUUAUCAAUGGCCAGUUUUCUGUCUCAAAUUAUUAGAGCUGGGAUACCGCUAUUUCGUUUGGUUGCCUUACUAUGUUAGUUCUAAUUUCUAAAUUUCUAUCCUUAACAUGUUAAACUGUACCUUUUUUUAUUCAAGAUUUCUAGGUUUAGUUGUUAUCUAGCUUUUAUUGUCAUACUUCAGUUCAUAAUGGAUACUUACAUGCACAUUCUUUUUCAUAUAUUAAUACACUUUUGGUGUAUCUGUUUA